GGUCGCUGGGGUUUUAACGGAUUCCUUGAGCUUUGGCUUCACACUCCCAACUAGGGUUUUUAGAGCGGCGGCGCCCGCCCCCUCUUCCGUGUCCCCUCCUCGACCAACGCUUCUAGCGAUCAAGUCGCCUAAACCCGCGACAACUAUGGACCGAUACCAGAGAGUCGAGAAGCCGAGGCCUGAGUCCACCAUUAACGAGAAUGAGAUUCGGAUCACUGCUCAGGGCCUCAUUCGCAAUUACAUUAGUUAUGCCACCACCCUUCUUCAGCUAGACUAAGCGAUACUGAGUUGGCCCCUCUAGAAGUUGGGAAAAAAAAAACUUAUUAUGAAAAUGAGUACCUUGGCAUUUCAUAUCAGAAGUGAAAUUUUGCAAUGUUCGCGGCUAAUAAUUCUGCAUAAUGGUAGAUUCAUUUCUGUAAUUUUUUGCUAGAGACGAGUGUGUUAAACAAAAUUUACAUUUCAUUUCCUAAGGAAUACCUGAUCAUAACCAUUAUGUAACAGAUUUUAUUUACCUAUUUACUUGCAUUAUAAGGAUGCCACCUGAGUUAUAAAGCCUUAAAAAAAAAAAGAAGGUUUUUCUAUA
Molecule: long non-coding RNA, 583 nt
Organism: Dendrobium catenatum
Lineage: Eukaryota; Viridiplantae; Streptophyta; Magnoliopsida; Asparagales; Orchidaceae
Exons: 2
Source: RefSeq, a predicted model, not a curated record